GCAGGGGGGUUCUUGUGGGGUCACUGGGUCUUGAUCCGCGGGAGUGGGGUAGGAAUAGAGCCCUGAGGGACAGGGACUAUGGCGACGCGGGGGUGGGAGGUACAGAGAGGGGUGUCGAGCCUGGAGCAGGGCUAUGGCAGGGACACUCACUGGGGCAUGGGCAGCGACAGGCGAAGAAGGUUCAGGGCCAGGUGGACAGUCAUGUCUCAAUUCAGGAAAGAGAAGUGCAGGCAGGAUUGGGUGCGGGAGAGCCAGGCCCAUCACCAGCACCGAGUUAGGGGUCUGCAGAGCUGAUUGGAGGGUGGGUUUGGAGGGGCAAGGAAAACAGCAGCAGGCACUCCUGGAGUGGCCGCCUGUCCCCCUGCUCUCAGAGGGUACCUCCAGCUCAGAAGGACCCAGUCUGAGUCCAGGGUUUUCCGUGGAGAGGAUGGAGAAGCCUCAGUCCGCCAGCCCUCUCCCCAGUAGAAAUGCAGAAAGCUCACAGCUGGAAUUAGGGAGAGGAUGGGGAUACUAGUCAGUGAGCCAGCCUCCCCCGACCUAAGGCUAGAGGCCCAGAGAUUGUUUUCCCAUUGACUCUUCAUUUUCCACUGCCCAAGGAUGAACUCAAACACAGGAGAUAGGAGAUGAUUUGGAUGAAGUGAUAAAGAAAAGGCUUCACUCCAAGAAAAAAAAGAAAAAGAAAAGAAAAUGAAAAGACCUGCAGGAGCAAGAAGCCCUUUCCAGGGUGUGCUUAUGAGGAAGAAGGGAAUUAUGGUGAUAGCUACCACUUAAGCACUUACCUUGUUCCAGGUGCAAUAACGGUGUUUUACAGGCAUUAUUUUAUUUAGUCCCCCAAAAUAAAGCUAUUACGUACCUUUUUAUCAUUACCCCUAAUAAAACUAAUGAUUAGACUGUUUAAAAACCUACCUGGGUCAUACGGACAGUUACCAGUGGACCCAAGAUUCAAACCUUUGUAUUUCAGAGUCCAGAAUAUAUAUUUUUACCCCUACUUUGUAGGAUAAGAAAAUGCAGCCCAGUCAACCAGCCAAGGUCUACCAUUUGCUAUAGGACACGAGAUGACCAAGGUUUCACAUAAUAAUGGUAAUUCAGUUCUGCACAUUAGCUCUCCCUGCCAUCAUCCAUCCGGUUCAUAGAAGUGGACAGGAUAUGAGGAAGGCUUCAGUGAUCACUGUCCUAGCCAGAUUCUGCCCCAGGACCACAAGCUUAAACUCCAGAUGCCCAAGCCCCGGCUUAUAAAUGGUUCCCCUCGCCAUGUUUCCCAAGCUGUGGAGGAGUGGGAAGGUUGAGUGGAGGAAGGGAUAUCUGCCUCCAACCACGCUAGACCCGACCUGCUGUCACCGCCCGCCCCAGCUGGAUCCAGAAUGGAAACCUGGAAUAGCAGGCAAAGCCACCCCCGACACUCCAUGUUCCUCCCCAGAACCAGCUCCCUCUCCUACCAGCUGAAUUUUCAGGACAGAGCUGCCAGGUGGCCAGUCCACAGGUGGAAGUGGAAGGAGAUUGAAAGGACCUGGGAAGAGGUUCAUUGGUCAUGGUGCCUGGCUGGUGCUUUCCAAAGCCAAGGUUGCUGGUGUGUGCCUGACAGUUCCAUAGGAAGUAGGGACUUCUGGGAGGGAGGAGGAGGUGGAAGGUGCCCUGGUCAGCAAAGUGGGGUCCAAGCCUUCUAGUCCCAACUGGGCACAUCACUUCAUCUCUGAGAGUCUCAUUUUCUUCAGCCACAACUAAUGAACAAAGUCUCCUUCAGCUCCCAAAUCCGAAUAGCUUUAAGGAUAUCCCCUGCUUGCUGCUUGUUAUUAUGUCAGGCCCUGUGCUAAGCGCUUUGCAUAUAUUACCUCAUUUAAUCCCCAUUUUGGAAGUCAGGAAACAGCCUCUGAGACAUUUUGUAACUUAGCUAAGGUCACUCAGUUGACAAAUAGUGAAGUGAUGGGAUUCAGUAGCCUCUGCUGCUAGCCACUGCCUCAGGGCAGGUAAUUAUUUCUAUGAAUUCAGCAGGGCCAAGCCAACUAGACUAAGCAAAAGAAAUGAGGAUCCAAAAAAAUUCAUGCGCUUUUUCAUGCGCGGUGAAUGCAGGAAAAGUCAUAUAUAUAUAUGGCUAUGUAAAUCAGCAACUGCAAUAUUUGAAUCAGCAUGAAUAAAAAACCAUUCCUCUGUCUCUUAAAAAAAUAGGCAGAUCUGUUUUCUUCUUCCUCAUUUCUAUCUGAGCCUCUGUACCAAGGAGAAACGGGAAUAAGACAGGACUAGAUUCUUCCCAAACACCAGGUGAUGCGGUCAGUGAGGAGAGCUCCAGAAUCAAAAGAUGAAGAAGGACCUGCCUCUAGCCCCCAAGAGGUAUGCUGUUCUUCCCACACAUCUCAGCUCUCUCCCAGCACUGAGUCCAGCCCUCCACAGAAAGGGGAGGAAAAUGCCCACCCCUAGCCCUGCCCUUCCCCAACCCUCCACACAUCACUCCUUCUUCUUCCUGCCCUCCUGCACAGUCUGAUAAUGGUGCUCUCUCUUGCUCAGCCCUUUAGCCCUGCAGACCUAGGACAGGGCAUGACUUGGGAAGGCUCCUGUGCACAGGGUGCACUGGAGGAGGUGCCCCAGGCCCUGGGCCAUGGAGAUAAUUGUGUAUCUGCUUCUCUUUUACCUUUUGGGUGGGUAGCCUCUCCUUUUUUAAGGGACACUGACUUCAACCAUGUCUACUAAUCCCUCAGUAUGGCUCCCUGGGCACUCAAGAGCAACAGUUCCAGGCAGGGACCCCCACAUCCUACUCUAAUUACUACUGCAGACACAGAGGAGACCAAUUCCAUUCCUUCCCUGGCCUCUUGGAUUCUUUGUUUACUCACCUCUUUCCAGUGACCACGUCUCCCACUUCCCCUUCCCCAGCAAUACUCCCCUGUCAUCCUCACCUCUCCCCUCCCCCCAGCUCAUUUCCCAGAACCCACCAUCCAUUUAUCUUCUCUACUUUAUACAACACUGCUGGGAGGAAGGGCUCUUCCUCAGUGGAGCCCAGGAACCUCCAUGAGGAGCCCAUUUCUCCCUUCACAACCAAAAAAUUGCUUCCUGUAGAAUAACAAGCAGAGGGAAAAGGCUGGAAGGAGAUAUGUUAUCGGGGUGUUCUCCAGGGGGUGGGACUGUAGGUGACUGACAUGUUUGUUUUUCAUACUUUUCUCUAGGUUUUACGUUUUCUAUUAUGAGCAGAUUACUUUUAUAAUCAGUAAAUAUUUAGAGGAGAGGUUAAACCACAGCUCUUCGAAGAAGACAGGGCUAUGUUUGAAUCCUGCCUCCACAGUUAGGAGUCAUGCUUCCUUGGAAAAAUCUAACUUUCUAAACCUCAGUUGGCACAUCUGUGAAAUAAUACCUACUUCACAGGGUUGUUGCUAUGAUUAAAUAUAAAGUGCUGGCUACAGGGCAGGCAUUCACAAACUGGCAACUAUUACUUAAACUAAUAAGAGUUAAAAUCGCAACCACCACCACUUGCCCCUAAGUGUUCUCUGCCUCUUGGUACCCAGACAUGGGAAAGUCUCACCUAUUAUAGAACUGGGCUAUCCUUCCCUUCCAAAGCCCACUUUUUUUUUCUUUACUAUGCCAUAAGGUGGCAAAGUCAGUAACCUCGUGUAUCAUUAGCUGGUUGACUGAAUGACUGAAAAUACAAGGACUUUGGAAUAGUCUUUCUCCAAGUGCAGAGGCAAAAAAUAAAUAAGCAAACAAAUAAAUUUCAUAUACGUAUGAUCACUGUACUCUUCCAGUGAGGCAGGAGCCAGGGCCUAUGCCAGGCGCUUUCAUACCGAGUCACCUUUACAGCAAACCCCUCGGGCGCUGGGCACUUGCAGUACCCAGGUUUCCGCGUGGGCGCUGACAAAUUGCAGACACUUCCUUUCCUCGCCAGCAGGGCUCUCUCGCGGUCACUUCACCCAGCCCCUUCCGAGCGAGAAGGCCUUGGGGGCCGGGACAACCCCUCCCCAGAACCACCCUGACUAGGCUCUUUGCAGCCAGCAUCACUACCGAGCUAACCAAUAUGGACCAGCCUGCGCUGCACAGGGCGCUUAGGCGAUCGUUGGAGGGUCAUGAGGAUCAGCCUGUCCGCCCACCGACGGCGGCGCAGUGGGAUGGGGAACGGGGUGGGGGCCGAAAGACGGGAGGAAGGAGUCGCUGCAGUGUCUCCAGGCGAUGGUUGCCAGCGUCUCACUGGGGAGGAAGUUCCUCCUGUCAUCCAACCCGCAGUUCCCCUCUUGCAGAGCCCUGCCGAGCUCCCAGUCCAGCCUAGGCUGUCUAACGGAUGGGCGCUCAGACGCCCCCGCGAGUUGAGGAGCAUUUUUCCUAGGGCUUCCAAGUCGGGCGGGCGCCUUCCACCAUCCACCACCCACGUCUCGGCAAGGACCCCUUUUCUUUCUGCUCCUAGGUCUUCCGCAUCCACUUCCAUCCCUCUCUCGCCCUCCAGGGCUUUCUCAGGCGCCUCUCGCAGCGGACCC
This 4448-nucleotide long non-coding RNA is filed under the name Homo sapiens (human). RNAcentral's name for it is "HSALNT0365530". The record is from RNAcentral. Lineage: Eukaryota; Metazoa; Chordata; Mammalia; Primates; Hominidae.